Molecule: ribosomal RNA, 468 nt
Filed under: uncultured bacterium
Lineage: Bacteria
Description: partial 16S ribosomal RNA
Rfam family: Bacterial small subunit ribosomal RNA
Source: RNAcentral
GACGAACGCUGGCGGCGUGCUUAACACAUGUAAGUCGAACGGAAAGGCCCUGCUUUUGUGGGGUGCUCGAGUGGCGAACGGGUGAGUAACACGUGAGUAACCUGCCCUUGACCUUGGGAUAACUUCAGGAAACUGGGGCUAAUACCGGAUAGGAGCUCCUGCUGCAUGGUGGGGGUUGGAAAGUUUCGGCGGUUGGGGAUGGACUCGCGGCUUAUCAGCUUGUUGGUGGGGUAGUGGCUUACCAAGGCUUUGACGGGUAGCCGGCCUGAGAGGGUGACCGGCCACAUUGGGACUGAGAUACGGCCCAGACUCCUACGGGAGGCAGCAGUGGGGAAUAUUGCACAAUGGGCGGAAGCCUGAUGCAGCAACGCCGCGUGCGGGAUGACGGCCUUCGGGUUGUAAACCGCUUUCGCCUGUGACGAAGCGUGAGUGACGGUAAUGGGUAAAGAAGCACCGGCUAACUACGUG